UCCAGAGAUGGACUGGUGCCUUCGGGAACUGUGAGACAGGUGCUGCAUGGCUGUCGUCAGCUCGUGUUGUGAAAUGUUGGGUUAAGUCCCGCAACGAGCGCAACCCUUAUCCUUUGUUGCCAGCGAUUAGGUCGGGAACUCAAAGGAGACUGCCAGUGAUAAACUGGAGGAAGGUGGGGAUGACGUCAAGUCAUCAUGGCCCUUACGACCAGGGCUACACACGUGCUACAAUGGCGCAUACAAAGAGAAGCGACCU
This 256-nucleotide ribosomal RNA is filed under the name Salmonella enterica subsp. enterica serovar Kentucky. RNAcentral describes it as "partial 16S ribosomal RNA". It matches the Rfam family "Bacterial small subunit ribosomal RNA", at positions 999 to 1255 of the family's 1533-position model. The record is from RNAcentral. Lineage: Bacteria; Pseudomonadati; Pseudomonadota; Gammaproteobacteria; Enterobacterales; Enterobacteriaceae.